RNAcentral lists this ribosomal RNA (292 nucleotides) under uncultured bacterium. RNAcentral's name for it is "partial 16S ribosomal RNA". It matches the Rfam family "Bacterial small subunit ribosomal RNA", at positions 505 to 796 of the family's 1533-position model. The record is from RNAcentral.
GUGCCAGCCGCCGCGGUAAUACGGAGGGUGCUAGCGUUGUUCGGAAUUACUGGGCGUAAAGCGCGUGUAGGCGGACUCGGAAGUCGGGUGUGAAAGCCCCGGGCUUAACUCGGGAAGUGCGCUCGAAACCACGAGUCUGGAGAACCGGAGGGGAUCGGGGAAUUCCCAGUGUAGAGGUGAAAUUCGUAGAUAUUGGGAGGAACACCGGUGGCGAAGGCGCCGAUCUGGACGGUUUCUGACGCUGAGACGCGAAAGCGUGGGUAGCAAACAGGAUUAGAAACCCGUGUAGUCC